This 4970-nucleotide long non-coding RNA is filed under the name Bos grunniens (domestic yak). Its description in RNAcentral is "lncRNA (ENSBGRG00000005809.1)". Lineage: Eukaryota; Metazoa; Chordata; Mammalia; Artiodactyla; Bovidae. The record is from RNAcentral.
GGAGGAAAGGCUUGGUGGGAUAGCUUGCCCCCACCCCCCAACCGGAGCCUGGAAAGGGGAGGACAGGGGAGGCUGGAGAAGGCGAGCGAGGACGGGGUUAUUAGCGGGGCAGAGCGGGGCACCGGAGCUGACGCCCCCGAAAGGCAAGCGAGGGGGGUGGCGUCCCGGGGCGCCCGGGCGAGGAGCUGGCGCCCCGGGCCGCCGGGCCGCCGGGCCGGGCCGCCCCGCGCGGAGCCGGGUCUCUUACCUGCCGCCCGCUUGGGUGCCUGCUGCUUCCUCCUUGGCAUCGCUCUAGUUCGCUCCAGUCCCACUUCUGGCGCCCCAGCCCCGAGCCGCCGCGCGCGGGGGCCCGCUGUCUCGCUCGCCUCUCCGGGUCUCCUCCGCCUCCUGCCCGGUGGCUCCCAGGGCGUCACUCGGCCUCUGUCCCCCUGUCCCUGCAACUCCUCCACCGGGGGCCGGAGACCCCCCUCUCUGCGUGGCAGGCAAGACACGGGUGGCUGUGCCGGCUGGUUUGAAGUAGAGGUUGGUUCUGCCUUGUUUGUUUGUUUGUUUGGUUUUGGAUUUUUUGUUUUUGUUUUUUCUCCUCUCUCUUUUUGUUUUUGCUUUUUGGAAAUUUUUUUUUUUUUGGUUUGGUUUUUUUUUUGUUGGUUUUUUUUUUUGGUGACUGUUGAGACACUUGAUUUCUUUAUUAAACAUCCAAGAGCGGGUUCGGAUGGAAGGGACGAGGGACGCACACGCGCGCGUAAAGAUAAGGAAAAAAAAAAAAAACAACACACAAACAAUCCUGGGAAGGUAGUGGGGUCCUCUUUCGCUCCUUCCUUCUCCUCCUGGCCUCCUGCACCUCCACCUCCUCGUCUUCCUCUUCCUCGCCGGGCUCGAUGGCGGAUUCGCGCCGGGGGCAGAGAGAUCUCUCACUGUCGGGUUGUGGCUGCUGUCAGAUCCCCGUCUCUGAGUGAUAUGCGAGAGGACAGGAGCGGGUUUGGGAAAGACAGAAAAUCUGGAAUUCACUCGCACACACUCACACACGCACACUCACACACACACACACACACACACACACUCACACUCGCUCCCUCUCACACACACACACACACACUCACACCCCCCACAGAUGCACACACACACACACACACACACCACGCGCACGCACACACAUACACACACACUCUCACACACACACAAGACAGGGCGAGGCGAUGCCAGCAAACAUCGAUCCCGCUGAACAAACUGAACAUUAACAAACUCCUCCUCCUCUCCCCGCGACCUGAUGACAGGGAGAAAUUUACUCCCCAGCCGCAGAGCGCCAGGCAGAGGGAGUCUAUUAAAGGGACAGUGUCCCGCCGGGAGCGGGGCGGGGCGGGGACCCCGGCGUGCCGCCUGCCCUGCCGUGCGCCCCGCUCGCUGGCGCUGCGACGCGCCCCCCGGGCCGCGGGGACACCCCUCGGAGGAGCGCUGAGAAAGGACGCGCUGGGGGCAGGGGGAUGGAAGGAGGAGCCCCGGGCGCCAGGUCAGUGGGCAGACACGUGGACUCCUCUUUGGAUGUGGAUUCCCAGGGACCACUUGGCGUUCUUGGUACCAGGAAUCGGAACCACCAGUCUGGCUGUCACAGCCAAGUUUGGCCAGCCUGGCUUUAGCUAUUUCCUCAUUCUCAGCUAGCAUCACUGCCAGUCUUGCCAGCAUAUCUAGAGGCCUAAUCCAGACUCUCAUGGAGGCUAAGCCCGUGACCUUCUCUGCCAGAAUGGUGAUCCCUCUUCUUGCCUGUUGGACCCUUGACAUAAGAAGCUCAAAGUUCCUGCAUGGAAGCCAAGACUUAAUGUUCCAGAAACUCUUGCUGUGCCUUCUGGUAGAGCUGUGUGUCAAACACUAUACAGGACUCCACUUGGCGUUCUUGGCUAAGGCUGUGGGUAGGAAGGGCAAAUCCAUAACUGGAUUAUCUGUUCAUUCCAGUGAAAGUAGACUGUUACCCAGGGCAGAUGCGCAAAGGGCUGCUUUUUAUUGCUCCAUGUAAGACAGACUUUGGCUUCAAGCUGCCCUCAGAAAAGGAGUAUAACCCUGGGUGAGAUGGCUUCUAGACAUGAACUGGUAAAUGUUUAACGAUUAACAACCUGAAAAGAAGUUCUGAUUUUUAGUGUUUUCUGAUUUUCAUGAUGUCGAUAAGGGGUUGGAAAACUACAACAUGCUGGCCCACCAGCUGGUUUUAUAAAUAACAUUCUAUUGGAAGACAGACACAUCCAUUUGUUUAAAAAAAAAAUAUUGGUAUGGUUGUUUUUUUGUAACAAUGGCCCACCAGGCUCCUCUGUCCAUGGGACUUCCAGGCCAGAAUACUGGAGUGGUUUUCCAUUUCCUUCUCCAGGGGAUCUUCCCAACCCAGGAAUCAAAACUGGGUCUCCUGCAUUGCAAGCAGAUCCUUCACUGUCUGAACUACCAGCAAAGCCCAUUGUGCUAAUUGUCAACAUCAUUUAAAAUGGGACUUCCUGAUCAGGUCUGUUAUAAAGACAGUUCAUGGUCUACUGAAAAUGGUGGUAUUUAAGAGGUCAAUAAAUCACAUCUACCUCCGACCAAACUCACAGUCAAUUAAUAAAGUGACACGAGAUUCAGAGAUACGAAGAUCAGAGUGUGGUAGAAAGUACUGAAGAAUUCGGCACAAACCUGCAGCAGAUGAGCUGCCCAACUAACCAUCACUGAGCACCUGGUAGGUGGCAGGUCUUGUUAUGCAUCCUGGGAAUACAACGGGGAAAGAAGUAUAAAAUCCCUUCCCUCAUAGAGUUCACAUUCUAGUAAAUCUGGACUCUCAACACGUCCUUAGUCUGUACUUUAGAAUCCAUCCAUUGUAGGAUGGACUCCCAAGACCACCUCAUACCUGUCAAGCUCCAAGACUAGAGAAAGAAUGAGCUUCUAGAUCUGACCUUAGAAGACAGGCCUAGUUCCUCAUCCAUGGACAAAAAUCACAUGGAAGAAUGAUUAAAAAAUAAUGUGUCCAUUCAGGGUCUAGAUGGCCUGGAGGAGAGAAGGAUGGUGCCUAAGUCAUGUUUGUGAAUACCCUUACCUUAUUUUUGAUCCAUUUAGGUGUUGAUAUAAUUGAAAUCAUGGAAGAAGAUUCUAAAAGCAUUACUCUAAUACUGCUUUCUCCAGUGAAGAGAAAUCCCCCAUGGUCACAAGAAGAGAGGGACUAGUUUUUGUGUUUUCAUCCAAGUGGUAGAAACAAUAUUUUGUAUGUAAAUCAGUUGAAUUGCCUAGAAGUGGCUAGAAACACAGUAGGUGCUCAAGAUAGUCUUAUGGACAGCUCAAUUUCAAUAUUCCCACUUAUUCUUUGGUAAAUUGCAAGAUUGAGGAAUUGUCAUUAAAGGAUAGGCAAGCAUCCUUCUGUCUGGUAUGAGUUUCAAUCUUAUGUUUUGAUAAUCACAGUGUCAAUAAUAUUGAUAAAUAUUUUGAGGCAAAUGCUUUGUACUUGGCUGAGUAAUGUGUGCCUUUAACAAGGCACACCCACUGUGUGCCUUGUUAAAAUUACAUGGUUUCUUUCUGGAUGGAAAAUACUCUGUUUAUAAAAUGUCUUAUUAUCAUGCUUCAUGAUGAAUGAGCUCUGUUUAUUUGUUUCUUUCCUGGCUGUCUUUAGGAGAUGAUCUAAGGUUAAUGGUGGAAAUGCUACCAAAAUAAAUGGUUUCAUGUAGUCAAAUAUUUCAUCUGAGCACUUUGUUUCAGGAAACUUGGGAAGAAAACAAAUGAAUAUUUUUGGAGGGUUUGAAUUCAUUCUUUAACUUUAGUGCUGCUAAGGUUUCCAAGAUACAUUGAAAAAUAUACUUUUCAACUAACCCACAAAAGUCUACAAUGCUUCCACCAACAUGUCAAUUAGAAUAUUACACAUAGUAUCUUCUGGAAAAUCCUCAAAAGGAUGUAGAAAAUGAUUUCAGAUGCCUGCAUAGAAUUGGCUAUUUUCCACAUGAAAUGGUUCUAUAGAAUCAUAAUCUUUCAUGAGAGUGAUAUUCACCAGACCUGGUUUAAAACAUUUCCUUAAAUUGACAUCUUGUUUUGAAAAUAAGCAGAUGUAAUAUUUGCAACUAAUCCUUCCAAGUUUGGACACUUUUGGAAAAAAAAAAAGUACAGUCAUGUGGGUAAAAUAUAGGACUUUUCUUUAAUGUCAGAGAUUCUGACUUAGGUCAGACUUAGUUGAGAAUUGCUCUAGGCUUACAUGAGAAUCUCUUGCCUUUGGUCAAAGUUCUACAAUAAAUCGCUGCUCCUAAGUGAUGUUGCCAGGAUGAAGUCAUUACCAUUUCCCCCCCUGAGGUUUUGGAAUUCUUCUAAGAAUCUCCUUUAUGUCCAGCUAAGUACAAAGGAUUAUUUAUCAGAUAUCUCCUUCCUGCACGGAUUAUACGUACCCAGAAAUAUUUGCAAUUGCCAAAGUCAUUCUUAGUCCUGCAGUCGAUAUUACUUUGGAGAUAAACAGAGAUUUAAACAUCAACAAUAAACUUAAAAUGACAGCUCAAUAAGAGAAGGAGUCUAUGUUGUCAGAUUUUUUUUUUUUUUCAGAUCAGGACUUUUAGUUAGAAAAAAUUAAUAUAUACAUGGCAAGACAGAGUGAAUUUUUCUUCCAAAGCCUUCUGGUAAACCCCAGCAUAAGAAGUUAUGCAUCUUAGUCUUGUAAACUGAACUUUAUUGCCUUUUUCUAAACUUUGAGUUAAAAUGGCUUUAAGAGAGGGGUCCAAAAUUGAGUUAAAGAGGAAAAAAAGACCCAUUAUCAAUCGAGAUUCCACUGGAAACAUUUUUUAUGAAAGGUGCUUAUUGGCUCCUUGAUAGGUUAUAUUCCAUUUUGGUCUCUUAAUUUACUAUUGUCUAAUAUAAAAUACAUGUAAUUGCUUUUCAAAAUUAUAAGAGUAUCUUUUGUUCUUUUUUUAAAUUAAUUAAUUAAUUUUCAUUGGAGAAGUUUUGUUCUUUUGAGGUUGGCAAUAUAGGUAAUAGAAAAGAAAAGAAAAAAC